Molecule: ribosomal RNA, 303 nt
Filed under: Salmonella enterica
Lineage: Bacteria; Pseudomonadati; Pseudomonadota; Gammaproteobacteria; Enterobacterales; Enterobacteriaceae
Also listed under: 2 other names
Description: partial 23S ribosomal RNA
Rfam family: Bacterial large subunit ribosomal RNA
Source: RNAcentral
CCAGACAGCCAGGAUGUUGGCUUAGAAGCAGCCAUCAUUUAAAGAAAGCGUAAUAGCUCACUGGUCGAGUCGGCCUGCGCGGAAGAUGUAACGGGGCUAAACCAUGCACCGAAGCUGCGGCAGCGACGCUGAUGCGUUGUUGGGUAGGGGAGCGUUCUGUAAGCCUGCGAAGGUGACCUGUGAGGGUUGCUGGAGGUAUCAGAAGUGCGAAUGCUGACAUAAGUAACGAUAAAGCGGGUGAAAAGCCCGCUCGCCGGAAGACCAAGGGUUCCUGUCCAACGUUAAUCGGGGCAGGGUGAGUCG